Molecule: ribosomal RNA, 482 nt
Filed under: uncultured bacterium
Lineage: Bacteria
Description: partial 16S ribosomal RNA
Rfam family: Bacterial small subunit ribosomal RNA
Source: RNAcentral
AUUGAACGCUGGCGGCAUGCCUUACACAUGCCAGUCGAACGGUAACGGGCCUUCGGGUGCCGACGAGUGGCGCACGGGUGAGUAAUACAUCGGAACGUGCCCGAUCGUGGGGGAUAACGAGGCGAAAGCUUUGCUAAUACCGCAUACGAUCUACGGAUGAAAGCGGGGGACCGCAAGGCCUUGCGCGGACUGGGCGGCCGAUGGCAGAUUAGGUAGUUGGUGGGAUAAAAGCUUACCAAGCCGACGAUCUGUAGCUGGUCUGAGAGGAUGAGCAGCCACACUGGGACUGAGACACGGCCCAGACUCCUACGGGAGGCAGCAGUGGGGAAUUUUGGACAAUGGGCGCAAGCCUGAUCCAGCAAUGCCGCGUGCAGGAUGAAGGCCUUCGGGUUGUAAACUGAUUUUGUACGGAACGAAAAGCCUUCUUUUAAUACAGGAGGGUCAUGACGGUACCGUAAGAAUAAGCACCGGCUAACUACGUG